CCCGCCUCCAUGAAGUUGGAUUCGCUGGUAAUCGCGCAUCAGCCAUGGCGCGAUGAAUACGUUCCCGGGCCUUGUACACACCGCCCGUCAAGCCAUGGGAGCUGGGGGGUGCCUGAAGUUCGUGACCGCAAGGAUCGACCUAGGGCAAAACCGGUGACUGGGGCUAAGUCGUAACAAGGUAGC
This 183-nucleotide ribosomal RNA is filed under the name uncultured bacterium. RNAcentral's name for it is "partial 16S ribosomal RNA". It matches the Rfam family "Bacterial small subunit ribosomal RNA", at positions 1311 to 1500 of the family's 1533-position model. The record is from RNAcentral.